This 74-nucleotide transfer RNA is filed under the name Anguilla anguilla (European eel). RNAcentral describes it as "tRNA-OTHER". The record is from RNAcentral. Lineage: Eukaryota; Metazoa; Chordata; Actinopteri; Anguilliformes; Anguillidae.
GGCACGGUGGUGCAGUGGGCAGCACUGUCGCCUCACAGCGAGAAGGUUGUGCGUUCGAAUCUCAGCUUGGGGCC